UACGGCCACAUUUCGUUGAUACACCGGUUCCCGUACAAUCACCGAAGAUAAGCAACGUCGAGCCUGUUCAGUACCUAGAUGGUUGACUGCCUGGAAAAAAUCAGGUGCUGUAA
Acanthosepion pharaonis is the source of this 113-nucleotide non-coding RNA. NCBI's taxonomy places the organism in Eukaryota, Metazoa, Mollusca, Cephalopoda, Sepiida, Sepiidae. The record is from the annotation of a GenBank genome assembly.